CGUAGGGGGCAAGCGUUGUCCGGAUUUAUUGGGCGUAAAGAGCGUGUAGGCGGCCAUACAGGUCCGUUGUGAAAACUGGAGGCUUAACCUCCAGACGUCGAUGGAAACCGUAUGGCUAGAGUCCGGAAGAGGAGAGUGGAAUUCCUGGUGUAGCGGUGAAAUGCGCAGAUAUCAGGAAGAACACCCGUGGCGAAGGCGGCUCUCUGGGACGGUACUGACGCUGAGACGCGAAAGCGUGGGGAGCGAACAGGAUUAGAUACCCUGGUAGUCCACGCCGUAAACGAUGGGUGCUAGGUGUGGGGGGUGUCAACUCCCUCCGUGCCGCAGCUAACGCAUUAAGCACCCCGCCUGGGGAGUACGGCCGCAAGGCUA
RNAcentral lists this ribosomal RNA (372 nucleotides) under uncultured organism. Its description in RNAcentral is "bacterial SSU rRNA". It matches the Rfam family "Bacterial small subunit ribosomal RNA", at positions 526 to 896 of the family's 1533-position model. The record is from RNAcentral.